This is an unclassified non-coding RNA of Gorilla gorilla gorilla (western lowland gorilla), 102 nucleotides long. It matches the Rfam family "Y RNA". Rfam says of the family: Y RNAs are components of the Ro ribonucleoprotein particle (Ro RNP), in association with Ro60 and La proteins. The Y RNAs and Ro60 and La proteins are well conserved, but the function of the Ro RNP is not known. NCBI's taxonomy places the organism in Eukaryota, Metazoa, Chordata, Mammalia, Primates, Hominidae. The record is from Ensembl.
GGCUGGUCCAAGUGCAGUGGUGUUUACAACUAAUUGAUCAUCACCAUUAACAGAUUUCUUUGUUCCUUCUCCACUCCCACAGCUCCAUUUUAAUAGCCUUUA